GGUGGCUCAGUGGUAGAGCACUUGCCUUGCAUGCAUGAGGCCUUAGGUUCAAUUCCUCAGCACCA
Molecule: transfer RNA, 65 nt
Filed under: Dipodomys ordii (Ord's kangaroo rat)
Lineage: Eukaryota; Metazoa; Chordata; Mammalia; Rodentia; Heteromyidae
Rfam family: tRNA
About the family: Transfer RNA (tRNA) molecules are approximately 80 nucleotides in length. Their secondary structure includes four short double-helical elements and three loops (D, anti-codon, and T loops).
Source: Rfam by way of RNAcentral